RNAcentral lists this ribosomal RNA (497 nucleotides) under uncultured bacterium. Its description in RNAcentral is "bacterial SSU rRNA". It matches the Rfam family "Bacterial small subunit ribosomal RNA", at positions 28 to 523 of the family's 1533-position model. The record is from RNAcentral.
GAUGAACGCUAGCGGCAGGCCUAAUACAUGCAAGUCGAACGGUAACAUGAGUAGCAAUACUUGAUGACGAGUGGCGCACGGGUGCGUAACGCGUAUGCAAUCUACCUUUAACUGGUGAAUAGCCCGAAGAAAUUCGGAUUAAUACACCAUAGUAUAUUAGAGUAGCAUUACUUUAAUAUUAAAACUACGGUGGUUAAAGAUGAGCAUGCGUGACAUUAGCUAGUUGGUGAGGUAACGGCUCACCAAGGCUACGAUGUCUAGGGGAUCUGAGAGGAUUAACCCCCCACACUGGUACUGAGACAGGGACCAGACUCCUACGGGAGGCAGCAGUAAGGAAUAUUGGACAAUGGUCGCAAGACUGAUCCAGCCAUGCCGCGUGAAGGAUGACGGCCCUAUGGGUUGUAAACUUCUUUGUACGGAAAAACCCUCUACGUGUAGAGGGCUGAUUGUACUGUAAGAAUAAGGAUCGGCUAACUCCGUGCCAGCAGCCGCGGUAU